This 457-nucleotide ribosomal RNA is filed under the name uncultured bacterium. Its description in RNAcentral is "bacterial SSU rRNA". It matches the Rfam family "Bacterial small subunit ribosomal RNA", at positions 29 to 506 of the family's 1533-position model. The record is from RNAcentral.
AUGAACGCUGGCGGCGUGCCUAACCCAUGUAAGUCGAGCGAUCUUGUUAGCGAUAAUGAGAGAGCGGCGGAAGGGUGAGUAACACGUAGGAGACCUACCUCAUCGCAGGGAACAACUUCGCGAAAGCGGAGCUAAUACCCAAAAGGCUCACAGAUUCAUUUUUGUGAGGAGAGUACGCAAGUGCGUGAUGAGAGGGUCCUGCGGCCCAUCAGCUCGUUGGCAGGGUAACGGCCUACCAAGGCAACGACGGGUAGGGGGUCUGAGAGGACGAUCCCCCACACUGGAACUGAAACACGGUCCAGACGCCUACGGGUGGCAGCAGGGAGGAAUAUUGGGCAAUGGACGAAAGUCUGACCCAGCAACGCCGCGUGAAGGAAGAAGGCCUUCGGGUCGUAAACUUCUUUUAGGGGAGACGAGCAAGGACGGUAUCCCCUGAAUAAGCCACGGCUAACUACGU